Molecule: unclassified non-coding RNA, 231 nt
Filed under: Hevea brasiliensis (rubber tree)
Lineage: Eukaryota; Viridiplantae; Streptophyta; Magnoliopsida; Malpighiales; Euphorbiaceae
Source: RNAcentral
ACAAGAAGACCAAGAGGGGAAAAAGGUUCAACCACUCGUACGGAAAUGCGAGGCCGCGCAACAAGAAGAAGGGAACUGGCCCUGCACGGCUGUUCGCGCCGCCUGCGCCUCCGAGGAAGGACCAGUUCGACGACGGCGAGGUCACCCCGAUCGACAUCGACGAUGACAUCCUGGAAUAGGUUGUCUGAAUUUCCCCCCUUGAAUUAUGGUUUACCUUGAGCUUACCUUUUG